Molecule: ribosomal RNA, 573 nt
Filed under: Rhodotorula diobovata
Lineage: Eukaryota; Fungi; Basidiomycota; Microbotryomycetes; Sporidiobolales; Sporidiobolaceae
Description: eukaryotic LSU rRNA
Rfam family: Eukaryotic large subunit ribosomal RNA
Source: RNAcentral
AAACUAACAAGGAUUCCCCUAGUAGCGGCGAGCGAAGCGGGAAGAGCUCAAAUUUAUAAUCUGGCACCUUCGGUGUCCGAGUUGUAAUCUCUAGAAGUGUUUUUCGCGUUGGACCGCACACAAGUCUGUUGGAAUACAGCGGCAUAGUGGUGAAACCCCCGUAUAUGGUGCGGACGCCCAGCGCUUUGUGAUACACUUUCAAUGAGUCGAGUUGUUUGGGAAUGCAGCUCAAAUUGGGUGGUAAAUUCCAUCUAAAGCUAAAUAUUGGCGAGAGACCGAUAGCGAACAAGUACCGUGAGGGAAAGAUGAAAAGCACUUUGGAAAGAGAGUUAACAGUACGUGAUAUUGUUGGAAGGGAAACGCUUGAAGUCAGACUUGCUUGCCGGAGCUUGCUUCGGUUUGCAGGCCAGCAUCAGUUUUCCGGGGUGGAUAAUGACGGUUUGAAGGUAGCAGUCUCGGCUGUGUUAUAGCUUUCCGUUGGAUACGCCUGGGGGACUGAGGAACGCAGCGUGCUUUUUGCGAAAGACUCGUCUUUUUCACGCUUAGGAUGCUGGUGGGAUGGCUUUAUACGAC